UACGUAGGGGGCAAGCGUUGUCCGGAAUCAUUGGGCGUAAAGAGCGUGUAGGCGGUUCGGUAAGUCCGUCGUGAAAGUCCAGGGCUCAACCCUGGAAAGCCGAUGGAUACUGUCGGACUAGAGUCCGGAAGAGGCGAGUGGAAUUCCUGGUGUAGCGGUGAAAUGCGCAGAUAUCAGGAGGAACACCUAUGGCGAAGGCAGCUCGCUGGGACGGCACUGACGCUGAGACGCGAAAGCGUGGGGAGCAAACAGG
Molecule: ribosomal RNA, 253 nt
Filed under: uncultured bacterium
Lineage: Bacteria
Description: partial 16S ribosomal RNA
Rfam family: Bacterial small subunit ribosomal RNA
Source: RNAcentral